This 202-nucleotide ribosomal RNA is filed under the name uncultured bacterium. RNAcentral's name for it is "partial 16S ribosomal RNA". It matches the Rfam family "Bacterial small subunit ribosomal RNA", at positions 524 to 721 of the family's 1533-position model. The record is from RNAcentral.
UACGAAGGGGGCUAGCGUUGCUCGGAAUUACUGGGCGUAAAGCGCACGUAGGCGGCUUUCUAAGUCGGGGGUGAAAUCCUGGAGCUCAACUCCAGAACUGCCUUCGAUACUGGAGAGCUCGAGUCCGGGGAGAGGGUGAGUGGGAACUGAGAGUGUAGAGGGUGAAAUUCGUAGAUAUUCGCAAGAACACCAGUGGCGAAGG